Molecule: long non-coding RNA, 1946 nt
Organism: Papaver somniferum (opium poppy)
Lineage: Eukaryota; Viridiplantae; Streptophyta; Magnoliopsida; Ranunculales; Papaveraceae
Exons: 4
Source: RefSeq, a predicted model, not a curated record
UUGAUGAGGAAAAAAAGAAAACUUCCGAGAGGUUUCUUCUUUUCCUGUACAGAUUUAGGUUUAUGGAUGAUUCGGGAAACCCUAAAACGAAUAAAACCUAAAACCAAACCUACAACCAACGCAACCAGCGGAAGAUUCAGCAAACCCUAACAAGAUAAGAGGCCUAUUUUCUUUCACCGAUCAAGCUUUGGUUUAUAUGACAGCUAAACAUCUGAUUACAUAGCGCGUAAAUAGUUACCAUAUAACAGACUACAGCGAAGUAUUCUUAAACCUGUGCCAGAACAAAGGAUAGGCCAUGUGGAAAGAAGCCAAGCGGAAAUUGAUGCUGCUAUCGAUAUAGCAAAUGCUACUGAGCAUGAUACUAGCAUUAUGAAGCAGAUUAUGCAGAGUUGCCAGUGGAGGGGCUUUGCUUAGUCAAUAAAUAUAUACGAACAGUUUGCUUCCUCACUCUGGAAACAAAUUACGGACUCGCCGUAAUUACAGUUUGAGCCUGGAAAAGAAGAAGGCUGGUGGUGUUGGUGGUCUUAAGUGGCAGUUGAACCGUAGCUGACCAGCUAUACUCAACAUUGAUUUACCAUCAAUGUUGGACAUACUAAAGUUUUUUGAUUUUGGUCUACUUCACUUGGGCAUGCAGAGAUCUAUAUUCUGAAGCAUACAUCCUCAUUAUUAGCUGGCAUUUGGGUGACGCGUAAAGAGAAGUUUGCAACAUGGAGUUGAAAGCAUAAAGAAUAUUUAGCAAAGAAAGAGAAGGAAGUCGGUAAGAAGGUAAGAACUUUGCAUCAUAAAUCUUGGCUUAAACAUUUCUUAACGAUUCACUUGCGCAGUACUCAUAUAGUUGUUGAGCUGUUGGUUAUUAUUUGAUAGUUCACACCCUUGAAUAUUGGUCAAUGAUUUUUCCUUCUCAUCAGAGUUAGCCCUUUGAAGUUGUUUGGUUUGCCACCAGAAUAAUUUCUUAUCACUGACUUUGCUUGCUCCCUGAAGAGAAAGAUGCCUUUGUAGGUGCAAAUCAUACCUCUGUCGAAACAUCCCUUCGUAAACAUUUUUUCUAGGCCAAUUAAAUGUCGUUAGGAUGACUGAUCCUCAUAUUACAUUCUAAGAUAGGCUGACUUGCAUCACUGAGAAAAUUGAUUAACGAGUAUUGGUAGUUUACUUUAGUAGCAUCACUGAGAGAUCUAUCAGUUUUUGUUUGACUUGCAUGGUUUAUAAUAUGAAGAUAGGCUGCGUAGAUUUUAAUCUGAUAUUUCUCUUCUACUUUUUAGAUGACUAACUAUAUAUUAGACCACCUUACAUUUGAGUACAAAGUAUUGAUAUCAAACCACUGCCAGGGUAAUGGCAUGGAUGACAUGGCUUACCCGCUUCUAUGAAGUGUCUCCUGAAAAUAUAAUCCAAUAAAAAAUUGGUUAUGAUUUGUGUUCACUUGGAAUUAUAACAGUUUACAUUUUUAUCUCCACCAUUCAUUUACCCCGCGAUUUUUACUUAUUUUGAUUCUAGAGGUCGAGAUUCUGUUUCAUCUCGAGCAUGUCCUCUCUGCAAAUUUGCAUACUUGGUGAUCACAAGACAUUCAACUCCAUCAUACAUGUUAUAUCUAAUCUUAUAGUUGUUCUAUUGAUUUUUUUGAUGUCGGGCCUUGCCUUAGUGGUGUUAGUUAAUUCACUCAUUCUAUGGGUAUCGGCAUGUAUAUCAUUUCACUGAUUCGACAAUUGGUUUGGUUUUGUGUUUUUUGAAUUCAUGUUCACCGUAAUAACCGCCUUAUUUAUGGAUGUUUUGUGACUCACAUUUUCAAGUUUAUGCUGGUGAGCCCAGGGUUGAAGAAUUGUAAGUAGCUCACAAAUUAUUAUGUAUCGGAUUAGCUAGGCUCUCAAAAAUGUAAGCAGCCUACACAAUGUCCUGUUUAUUUUGCUUCAGAAUUACUAUUCUGUACGGAUUAUUAAAUGUCAUUGUUUGCA